ACUGCCCAGACUCCUACGGGAGGCUGCAGUCGAGAAUCAUUCGCAAUGGGCGAAAGCCUGACGAAGCGACGCUGUGUGUGUGAUGGAAAAGGCCUUCGGGUCGUAAAGCUCUUUCGCCAUGGG
RNAcentral lists this ribosomal RNA (123 nucleotides) under uncultured Chlamydiales bacterium. Its description in RNAcentral is "partial 16S ribosomal RNA". It matches the Rfam family "Bacterial small subunit ribosomal RNA", at positions 326 to 445 of the family's 1533-position model. The record is from RNAcentral. Lineage: Bacteria; Pseudomonadati; Chlamydiota; Chlamydiia; Chlamydiales.